Long non-coding RNA from Pan troglodytes (chimpanzee), 422 nucleotides. RefSeq lists it as uncharacterized. NCBI's taxonomy places the organism in Eukaryota, Metazoa, Chordata, Mammalia, Primates, Hominidae. The record is from RefSeq and is a predicted model, not a curated record. The transcript has 3 exons.
GAAAAUUUGAGAAGAUAGUACAGAAAGCUCAUAUACUUUAAGCUAUGGGAUGAAUUGUGUUCAACAAAGAAGGAAAGAACAUUUCCUGGCUGAGGUCAGAGGCUGAAGUCAGAGGAAGAUGUGACUAUAGAAGAAUGAUCAUAGGAUUGCAAUAUUGCUGGUCUUGAAGACAGAGGAAGGAUGUGGGUUACAUCUAGAAACUGGAAAAGGUGAGGACCACACAUGGAAAAGGGAGGCUGAGAAUGUAAGACAUCAGCAGAGUGUGGAUCUGAUAGCUGUGUUGGAACUAAUGGAAGAUAGAUGGUUUGAGAGGUAAGGAGAUGGCUGGGCACUGCUGGGAAUGUUUUGAAGACACAUCUGGGCUAAACAGGGAGUAUCAUGAAUGAUUAGCAGUAUUUGCUUUGAGCUUGGUGAAAUGAAGG